AUUUUUGGUUCAUUUGCUUGUGCUAGGUACGGUUGAGGGUUUCACAAGUUAGCAUGGGAGGGAGGUUGAUCUUCCAAACAUUGAGGAUAUAUUUUGGGGGAUUAAAUUGAAUGUAUUAUGUACUAUUAUGGCAUGACUGAUGCCUUUAAUUUAUAUAAUUUCUUUGGCCUUUCAAAAAAAUGUGCAAUGGCCAAUUAUUAUAAUUAAGCUAAAG
RNAcentral lists this long non-coding RNA (214 nucleotides) under Lathyrus oleraceus (garden pea). RNAcentral describes it as "Pisum sativum (pea) long non-coding RNA (PSAT_LNC026609)". Lineage: Eukaryota; Viridiplantae; Streptophyta; Magnoliopsida; Fabales; Fabaceae. The record is from RNAcentral.